ACACGUGGGUAACCUGCCUUAUAGUGGGGGAUAGCCUUUCGAAAGGAAGAUUAAUACCGCAUAAGAUUGUAGUAUCGCAUGNUAUAGCAAUUAAAGGAGCAAUUCGCUAUAAGAUGGACCCGCGUCGCAUUAGCUAGUUGGUGAGGUAAUGGCUCACCAAGGCGACGAUGCGUAGCCGACCUGAGAGGGUGAUCGGCCACAUUGGGACUGAGACACGGCCCAGACUCCUACGGAAGGCAGCAUG
RNAcentral lists this ribosomal RNA (244 nucleotides) under uncultured bacterium. RNAcentral describes it as "partial 16S ribosomal RNA". It matches the Rfam family "Bacterial small subunit ribosomal RNA", at positions 113 to 353 of the family's 1533-position model. The record is from RNAcentral.